RNAcentral lists this ribosomal RNA (499 nucleotides) under uncultured bacterium. RNAcentral's name for it is "bacterial SSU rRNA". It matches the Rfam family "Bacterial small subunit ribosomal RNA", at positions 189 to 683 of the family's 1533-position model. The record is from RNAcentral.
GAUGUCUCCGGACCAAAGGUGUGAUUCCGCCGGAGGAGGGGCCCACGUCCUAUCAGCUAGUUGGCGAGGUAAUAGCUCACCAAGGCGACGACGGGUACGGGGUGUGAGAGCAUGCCCCCGCUCACUGGGACUGAGACACUGCCCAGACACCUACGGGUGGCUGCAGUCGAGAAUCUUCCGCAAUGGGCGAAAGCCUGACGGAGCGACGCCGCGUGCGGGAUGAAGGCCUUCGGGUUGUAAACCGCUGUCAGUGGGGAGGAAAUGCACGGGGGUUCUCCCUCGUGUUUGACCGAUCCGCAGAGGAAGCACAGGCUAAGUUCGUGCCAGCAGCCGCGGUAACACGAACUGUGCAAACGUUAUUCGGAAUCACUGGGCUUAAAGAGUUCGUAGGCGGCGCGUUAAGUCGGGUGUGAAAUCCCUCGGCUCAACCGAGGAAUUGCGCCCGAAACUGGCGUGCUUGAGUGAGAUAGAGGUGAGCGGAACUGAUGGUGGAGCGGUG